GGGGAAUAUUGGACAAUGGGGGCAACCCUGAUCCAGCAAUGCCGCGUGAGUGAUGAAGGCCUUAGGGUUGUAAAGCUCUUUUGCCAGGGAAGAUGAUGACUGUACCUGGAGAAUAAGCCCCGGCUAACUUCGUGCCAGUAGCCGCGGUAAUACGAAGGGGGCUAGCGUUGUUCGGAAUUACUGGGCGUAAAGGGCGCGUAGGCGGCCGUUUAAGUUAGGUGUGAAAGUCCUGGGCUCAACCUGGGGACUGCACUUAAUACUGGAUGGCUUGAAUUCGGGAGAGGAUAGCGGAAUUCCCAGUGUAGAGGUGAAAUUCGUAGAUAUUGGGAAGAACACCGGUGGCGAAGGCGGCUAUCUGGACCGACAUUGACGCUGAGGCGCGAAAGCGUGGGGAGCAAAC
RNAcentral lists this ribosomal RNA (400 nucleotides) under uncultured bacterium. RNAcentral describes it as "bacterial SSU rRNA". It matches the Rfam family "Bacterial small subunit ribosomal RNA", at positions 356 to 773 of the family's 1533-position model. The record is from RNAcentral.